RNAcentral lists this ribosomal RNA (489 nucleotides) under uncultured bacterium. Its description in RNAcentral is "partial 16S ribosomal RNA". It matches the Rfam family "Bacterial small subunit ribosomal RNA", at positions 30 to 507 of the family's 1533-position model. The record is from RNAcentral.
AUUGAACGCUGGCGGCAGGCCUAACACAUGCAAGUCGAACGGUAACAGGAAGCAGCUUGCUGCUUCGCUGACGAGUGGCGGACGGGUGAGUAAUGUCUGGGAAGCUGCCUGAUGGAGGGGGAUAGCUACUGGAAACGGUAGCUAAUACCGCAUAAGUUGGAAGACCAAAGAGGGGGACCUUUGGGCCCCUUUGCAUUGGAAGUGCCCAGAUGGGAUUUGCUUGUUGGGUGGGUAACGGCUUACCAAGGCGACGAUCCCUAGCUGGUCUGAGAGGAUGACCAGCCACACUGGAACUGAGACACGGUCCAGACUCCUACGGGAGGCAGCAGUGGGGAAUAUUGCACAAUGGGCGCAAGCCUGAUGCAGCCAUGCCGCGUGUAUGAAGAAGGCCUUCGGGUUGUAAAGUACUUUCAGCGGGGAGGAAGGGAGUAAAGUUAAUACCUUUGCUCAUUGACGUUACCCGCAGAAGAAGCACCGGCUAACUCCGUG